Molecule: ribosomal RNA, 443 nt
Filed under: uncultured bacterium
Lineage: Bacteria
Description: partial 16S ribosomal RNA
Rfam family: Bacterial small subunit ribosomal RNA
Source: RNAcentral
CCUACGGGAGGCAGCAGUAGGGAAUAUUGGGCAAUGGGCGCAAGCCUGACCCAGCAACGCCGCGUGAAGGAAGAAGGUUUUCGGGUUGUAAACUUCUUUUCUGAGGGACGAAGAAUGUGACGGUACCUCAGGAAUAAGCCACGGCUAACUACGGGGCAGCAGCAGGGGUAAUACGUGGGUGGCAAACGUUAUCCGGAUUUUUUGGGAGUAAAGGCCUUGUUGGGGGGAAAGUAAGUCAUCGGGUAAAACUCAGGGCUCAACCCUGGGCCUGCAUUUGAUACUGUUAUACUUGAGUGCUGGAGAGGCAAGCGGAAUUCCGUGUGUAGCGGUGAAAUGCGUAGAUAUACGGAGGAACACCAGUGGCGAAGGCGGAUUGCUGGGCAGUAACUGACGCUGAGGGGCGAAAGCGUGGGGAGCAAACAGGAUUAGAUACCCUUGUAGUC